GUGGCUGGUUCCGCAGCACAUAUACUAAAAUUGGAAGGAUACAAAGAUUAGCAUGGCCCCUGAGCAAGCAUGGUAUGGAAAUUCUUGAAACGUUACAUUAAAAA
Budorcas taxicolor (takin) is the source of this 104-nucleotide small nuclear RNA. Lineage: Eukaryota; Metazoa; Chordata; Mammalia; Artiodactyla; Bovidae. The record is from RefSeq and is a predicted model, not a curated record.